RNAcentral lists this ribosomal RNA (429 nucleotides) under Bacillota bacterium. RNAcentral describes it as "Firmicutes bacterium partial 16S ribosomal RNA". It matches the Rfam family "Bacterial small subunit ribosomal RNA", at positions 355 to 776 of the family's 1533-position model. Lineage: Bacteria; Bacillati; Bacillota. The record is from RNAcentral.
UGGGGAAUUUUGGACAAUGGGGGCAACCCUGAUCCAGCAAUGCCGCGUGUGUGAAGAAGGCCUUCGGGUUGUAAAGCACUUUUGUCCGGGAAGAAAUCGCACCUGAUAAUACCGGGUGUGGAUGACGCUACCGGAAGAAUAAGGACCGGCUAACUACGUGCCAGCAGCCGCGGUAAUACGUAGGGUCCAAGCGUUAAUCGGAAUUACUGGGCGUAAAGCGUGCGCAGGCGGUUGUGCAAGACCGAUGUGAGAUCCCCGGGCUUAACCUGGGAAUUGCAUUGGUGACUGCACGGCUAGAGUGUGUCAGAGGGGGGUAGAAUUCCACGUGUAGCAGUGAAAUGCGUAGAGAUGUGGAGGAAUACCGAUGGCGAAGGCAGCCCCCUGGGAUAACACUGACGCUCAUGCACGAAAGCGUGGGGAGCAAACAGG